Molecule: ribosomal RNA, 237 nt
Filed under: uncultured bacterium
Lineage: Bacteria
Description: partial 16S ribosomal RNA
Rfam family: Bacterial small subunit ribosomal RNA
Source: RNAcentral
UACGAAGGGGGCUAGCGUUGCUCGGAAUCACUGGGCGUAAAGGGUGCGUAGGCGGGUCUUUUAAGUCAGGGGUGAAAUCCUGGAGCUCAACUCCAGAACUGCCUUUGAUACUGAAGAUCUUGAGUCCGGGAGAGGUGAGUGGAACUGCGAGUGUAGAGGUGAAAUUCGUAGAUAUUCGCAAGAACACCAGUGGCGAAGGCGGCUCACUGGCCCGGUACUGACGCUGAGGCACGAAAA